GCCAUCAUACCACCACAGAAUUUGCAGUCUACACUUCAUCUCCGCAUUACACGGCAGAUCAAACCUGAUCUCAGCCAUUGGAGUAGAACAACAUCGUCUCAUCUGGCUUGUUGGACUGGCGUUGGCCGCAGCAGCACUUUGAUAGACGCAUAGAGAAAAGGACCGCUGACCAUACGGACCACCAGUAGUGUUCUCGCACAGUCAGUCAACCUGGUCACUUUGGGAAUCGUCUCCAUUCAGCUGGGACAACCUCCCUGAUAAGGCAGUCCAGACAACAAGCCUCUGAUUGUCCAUCAGCCUGACCAACCUCAUCACUUCUCUAUAGCUAGAUUACAGCUGCAUCCAUCAUCCAUCCAGGUGAUGUGACUGAACCCAACUUCUUCUGUCUGUUUAUUGCUCCUACUCUACAGCUGGCCUAAACUAACUUUCACCCCAUGAUUAAUUAUUAUAUAACCCAUACAUGCCACGGUAAAUUAAUCUGAGUAGCUGACAGGUCUCAGUUCAGUUGUGCAAUAAACUAAAUGCAAUUCAUUUGGCUGCUUUGGCACACUGGCUGCUAUAUUCUUUUUUCUCUCACCAACACAAUUCACUCAUAAAGUUCAUAAAAGGAAAUUUUUGUUUAAUGUGAAAAGAUAUUAUUGCUUCUAUUUUUGAUGCCCACUUAGCAGUCCUUUAAUUCCUAUAUGUGCUGGUAUACAGACAAAGGCAACAAUAAUACCCUGUUUUUUAUUUUUCUGUUCCACUAUCCUGCCAAAACUUCCUGUUUGUCUCCUCUCCCUUUCCCCAUCUUGACUAUGACCCAGUCAUUUUAUAGAAAUUGUGUUCUCCUGAUUUCUAAUGGCAAGUUGCAAUGCUAGAAUCUAAGUUAUUUUAAAUGCUCCUGUAAUCAUUCUUAAAGCUUACACUCUGUCUUUUUAAGGGAUGUGCUUGCUGCCCCCAGACUGUCCUCUUCUCCGUGUGGCCAGAGAGUCUUUGUUUAAUGAGUCCUUUAAAAAGCAGCUGAACACACUAUUAUUUAGACAAGCAUUUAGUUAAAUGUAUGUAUUUUUGAUGCUUUCCUUGUAAGCUGUUCUUGUGAUGUUACUAUUUAGUAUUUUUACACUGUAAUAAAUUCAUUUCCUGAUUUUCUUUCUUUUAAAAUAUAAAAAAACUUUACUUAC
Long non-coding RNA from Fundulus heteroclitus (mummichog), 1160 nucleotides. RefSeq lists it as uncharacterized. The transcript is spliced from 2 exons. The record is from RefSeq and is a predicted model, not a curated record. NCBI's taxonomy places the organism in Eukaryota, Metazoa, Chordata, Actinopteri, Cyprinodontiformes, Fundulidae.